UACGUAGGGGGCAAGCGUUAUCCGGAUUUACUGGGUGUAAAGGGAGCGCAGACGGCAGCGCAAGUCAGAAGUGAAACCCCCGGGCUCACCCCGGGGCCUGCUUUUGAAACUGUGCAGCUAGAGUGCAGGAAGGGCAAGCGGAAUUCCUAGUGUAGCGGUGAAAUGCGUAGAUAUUAGGAGGAACACCGGUGGCGAAGGCGGCUUGCUGGACUGUAACUGACGUUGAGGCUCGAAGGCGUGGGGAGCAAAC
RNAcentral lists this ribosomal RNA (250 nucleotides) under uncultured prokaryote. Its description in RNAcentral is "partial 16S ribosomal RNA". It matches the Rfam family "Bacterial small subunit ribosomal RNA", at positions 524 to 773 of the family's 1533-position model. The record is from RNAcentral.